Molecule: ribosomal RNA, 474 nt
Filed under: Salmonella enterica
Lineage: Bacteria; Pseudomonadati; Pseudomonadota; Gammaproteobacteria; Enterobacterales; Enterobacteriaceae
Also listed under: 1 other name
Description: partial 23S ribosomal RNA
Rfam family: Bacterial large subunit ribosomal RNA
Source: RNAcentral
GAUGGGAAACGGGUUAAUAUUCCCGUACUUGGUGUUACUGCGAAGGGGGGACGGAGAAGGCUAUGUUGGCCGGGCGACGGUUGUCCCGGUUUAAGCGUGUAGGUGUGUGUUCCAGGUAAAUCCGGUUCACUUUAACACUGAGGCGUGACGACGAGGCACUACGGUGCUGAAGCAACAAAUGCCCUGCUUCCAGGAAAAGCCUCUAAGCAUCAGGUAACACGAAAUCGUACCCCAAACCGACACAGGUGGUCAGGUAGAGAAUACCAAGGCGCUUGAGAGAACUCGGGUGAAGGAACUAGGCAAAAUGGUGCCGUAACUUCGGGAGAAGGCACGCUGACACGUAGGUGAAGUGAUUUACUCAUGGAGCUGAAGUCAGUCGAAGAUACCAGCUGGCUGCAACUGUUUAUUAAAAACACAGCACUGUGCAAACACGAAAGUGGACGUAUACGGUGUGACGCCUGCCCGGUGCCGGAA